This 1326-nucleotide long non-coding RNA is filed under the name Cyanistes caeruleus (blue tit). Its description in RNAcentral is "lncRNA (ENSCCEG00000014340.1)". The record is from RNAcentral. Lineage: Eukaryota; Metazoa; Chordata; Aves; Passeriformes; Paridae.
CUCCCCCGGCCGCCCCCCGCGCCCAUCGCCGGGGACCUGGGUCACCCCAUCUGCCUCUGCAGGGUCUGUUCCACCUGCCACACGCCUGGCAAAUUGUUCAAGGAGUCGAGGAGAUAUUCAUAGGGUUACAGAAAUUAGGGCUUUUAAUCCCGUAUUUGCACGACUCAGCUCAUUUGGUGGGAAAAGCAACGCGCAAACUCUCCCACGGAUCGGAGUUGGAAGUGCUGGGUUUUUAAAAACCAGGAGUUUAAACGUGGAAAGGUUAGUGGGAGUGAAUAGGAUGCAGGCAACUGAAGAGCUCUCUCGAAAAGAGUACACUGGGUGAAGAAUCUCCAACUCCACAUAUAGCCUCUACUAAAAUUAAUUUGAAACCUUUAAUAGUUUCUUUUUAAAAAUUAAAUUGGGCUGUGCCAUUACCUGAUUUUAGCAAAAACUCUUUCAGAGAGACCUUAGGAAUGGAGAGUUCUCUAUUCUCCCUAAGCUUUGGUUCGGGGCUGCAGGGACUCACGCCAUUCUGGGGUCCCCUCUCCGAAUUUUCGGCGGCGAGUUUAGUUUGUAAGACCUUUCUAAAGAGUAAAUUAUUUCUGUGAGGCGAAGACAGAAACGUCGAGGCACUUCAGAAGCACCAGAAGGAGGACUUCUCCUUUUUCUUCACCCAAGAGGACGACGCUGGCACUUGAGCAGAUAUUUGUAACUGUAAACGUGUAAAUGGUACAGAUUUGGCUAAUGGAGAUUGGUGCAUCACCAUUACCCUAGAAAAGGCUGAAUAAAAAAUUUAAGGGAUAAAUAAACCGGAAAAAGGCAAAACAUGUCAGGUUGACUUGCAGGAUGAGACCAGGAAAUAUGAGCUGGUAGGGCUGAGCCCUUUUUACCACGUACAUAUGGUUACACCUCUGGUUUCCUGCGGAACCGUCAGCGCCUGUGCAGUGCCAUUAAAAAAAAAAAAAAUAUUUUUGGGACGUUCCAAAACUGAAAGCCGGAGCUUAAUUUAUUCUGGGGACUUGAAAGGAACGAGGUCUUCCUUUGUGUCUGAUGCUCCGGGGGAGGACUCAGCUCACCUCGGAGGCCUCCAUCAGCUGCACGAUAUUAUCUCAUUGAUCAUAAAGUGCCUCGUUGGGAAGGCAAUUCUCGAGCAUCCCCAGCACAUGGAGAAGGAGGAGUAAGAAAUGCCACCGCUGGCAGCAGUGCCUGGAAGCUCUGCGUUCAGCGGGGGCCCCAGCGUGCGAGGCGGCUCCUCCCGGCCUCGGCCUCCUCCACCGGGGAUGUGGUGGCCGAGAGGCAGCGGGGACACGGAGCCCGGUGGCGGGUGCUGAGGGGGAAGGGCUG